GCGCUACACUGAUGCAUUCAACAAGCCUAUCCUUGACCGAAGGGUCUGGGUAAUCUUUGAAACUGCAUCGUGAUGGGGAUAGAUUAUUGCAAUUAUUAGUCUUCAACGAGGAAUGCCUAGUAAGCGCAAGUCAUCAGCUUGCGUUGAUUACGUCCCUGCCCUUUGUACACACCGCCCGUCGCUCCUACCGAUUGGGUGUGCUGGUGAAGUGUUCGGAUUGGCAGCUUAGGGUGGCAACACCUCAGGUCUGCCGAGAAGUUCAUUAAACCCUCCCACCUAGAGGAAGGAGAAGUCGUAACAAGGUUUCCGUAGGUGAACCUGCGGAAGGAUCAUUGAAUUAUUAAAACCACAACGUGAACCUAUCUGUUCCGUGCCUUUGCUGCCAGCAGGGCAAUCGGGUUCUGCCCGAUUGUACUUGCAAGCUGGUGCGAGUAAGUUUAUUACUUGCAUCAGUGGCGCUCUGGCAUGCCUAUACACCAGUGCUAACCACUGUCAAAACCAAACUCUGAAGCUUUGAUUGCUAUUAACUGGCAAUCUUAACCAAAGACAACUCUCAACAACGGAUAUCUUGGCUCUCGCAACGAUGAAGAACGCAGCGAAAUGCGAUACGUAGUGUGAAUUGCAGAAUUCCGUGAACCAUCGAAUCUUUGAACGCAUAUUGCGCUCGAGCCCUCGGGCAAGAGCAUGUCUGCCUCAGCGUCGGUUUAUACCCUCACCCCUCUCUCCUUUUGGAGGGUUGGUCAGCUCUCAGUUGACCUCAGGGGUGGAUCUGGCUUUCCCAAUUGGUUUACUCCGAUUGGGUUGGCUGAAGCUUAGAGGCUUAAGCAAGGACCCGAUAUGGGCUUCAACUGGAUAGGUAGCACCGGCUUCUGCCGACUACACGAAGUUGUGGCUUGUGACUUUGCUAGAGGCCAAGCAGGAAACAUGCUUUGCAUGUCUUAAACUUUCGACCUG
RNAcentral lists this ribosomal RNA (954 nucleotides) under Tetradesmus bajacalifornicus. RNAcentral describes it as "bacterial SSU rRNA". The stretch from base 1 to 335 matches the Rfam family "Eukaryotic small subunit ribosomal RNA", at positions 1495 to 1831 of the family's 1831-position model. Lineage: Eukaryota; Viridiplantae; Chlorophyta; Chlorophyceae; Sphaeropleales; Scenedesmaceae. The record is from RNAcentral.